GGAGACAGUUUCCAGGCUAAAGGACUGUUGGGGGAGUGAGAAGGCUGCUGGAGAGGGAUGGGUCCAGGGGACAGCUUCGGUCUCAGAGGAUGGGAGGAAAGGUGGCGCUGUGAGCCACAAGAGAGGAGCUGGGAGGGCUGACUGGUUUGAGAUGGGGAAAACAGGAGAUUGAGGGAGCAAGUCAAGCGGCUGCAGAGGCUACUAAACCGGUGUAAAGUCCCCGAAGCCCUGGGAAGAGCAGGUUUUAAGAAGUAGAACAUCGUCGUCGUGAUUUCAAGCAGCCACUAGAUGCCAGAUAUUGGCUGGCUGUGGGCCUCUGAGGAGCACAGAGCCGGGCCUGGUAGAAGUCUGGGUGGGCAGCUUUGGUGGCCGCAGAUGCACAGGUGAUGUGUCUCGGAGCUGACUUGCUGACUCCACGGAUCGGCUGCUGGUGUGGAAGGCCACGUUCACAGAGAGCUGCUGGAAAUAAUGAGGUUUGUGUGAUGUGUUACUGUUGUAAGAUUCGCACAGAGGGGUUGUCAGAUCAGAAGACCCGUUCCGCCUUCCUGAAGUGAAGCUUACAUGGAUGCGAUGUUAAUGGGAAGCACCCAUCUAAAGUCUCAGGAACGAGUUCUGUGCUGUACCCAGAUAGAGAUGUCUACUCUCCUCCAUUCUGAUGAUAUUGGUGAGAGUAAGAAAGUAGGUACAGCCGAGCCGUCUUUGCCACCUCACAGAUGUUGUCGUUUGAUGCUUCCCUGAAGGUUCUGCUCUAAGGGGCAGGCUGCAGUUUGUGUUUUCAGUGACAAAGGGCAGUCUACAGCCUCAUGAUAAAGGACUGUACCAGGAGACAAGGAACCCACAGAGAAAAGGAGCACGCUGAGUCAAGAGGACAAAGGGCCGGCACCCUCCAAGAACAGGGACUUCGAGAAGACAGCUAUGCCUUUAGCAAGGCCUCCAGUCCCUCCGUCUGGGUCCUUGCAUGUGAGGAAGAGAAUGCUGGGAAAGUGCCCUGGUCUUGUCUGCAGGCCCCAUGGACCAUCCUUUCCUAAACCUCACC
Molecule: long non-coding RNA, 1036 nt
Organism: Herpailurus yagouaroundi (jaguarundi)
Lineage: Eukaryota; Metazoa; Chordata; Mammalia; Carnivora; Felidae
Exons: 7
Source: RefSeq, a predicted model, not a curated record